CAAGGGACUAGUAGAGUGGCAAACGGGUGAGUAACACGUGGGUGACCUGCCUUCGAGUGGGGGAUAACGUCCCGAAAGGGACGCUAAUACCGCAUGACAUCCUGCCCUUGAACGGGUGGAGAUCAAAGCUGGGGAUCGCAAGACCUAGCGCUUGAAGAGGGGCCCGCGUCUGAUUAGCUAGUUGGUGAGGUAACGGCUCACCAAGGCGACGAUCAGUAUCCGGCCUGAGAGGGCGGACGGACACACUGGGACUGAGACACGGCCCAGACUCCUACGGGAGGCAGCAGUGGGGAAUUGUUCGCAAUGGGCGCAAGCCUGACGACGCAACGCCGCGUGGAGGAUGAAGAUCUUCGGGUCGUAAACUCCUUUCGAUCGAGACGAACGGCUUCCGGGUGAACAAUCCGGGAGAUUGACGGUACCGAGAGAAGAAGCCCCGGCUAACUCCGUGCCAGCAGCCGCGGUAAUACGGGGGGGGCAAGCGUUGUUCGGAAUUACUGGGCGUAAAGGGCUCGUAGGCGGCCAACUAAGUCAGACGUGAAAUCCCUCGGCUUAACCGGGGAACUGCGUCUGAUACUGGAUGGCUUGAGGUUGGGAGAGGGAUGCGGAAUUCCAGGUGUAGCGGUGAAAUGCGUAGAUAUCUGGAGGAACACCGGUGGCGAAGGCGGCAUCCUGGACCAAUUCUGACGCUGAGGAGCGAAAGCCAGGGGAGCAAACGGGAUUAGAUACCCCGGUAGUCCUGGCCCUAAACGAUGAAUGCUUGGUGUGGCGGGUAUCGAUCCCUGCCGUGCCGAAGCUAACGCAUUAAGCA
This 808-nucleotide ribosomal RNA is filed under the name uncultured Bacillota bacterium. RNAcentral's name for it is "bacterial SSU rRNA". It matches the Rfam family "Bacterial small subunit ribosomal RNA", at positions 80 to 866 of the family's 1533-position model. Lineage: Bacteria; Bacillati; Bacillota. The record is from RNAcentral.